UCCGGCAUAGCUCAGUUGGUAGUAGCGCAUGACUGUUAAUCAUGAUGUCGUAGGUUUGAGUCCUACUGUCGGAG
Molecule: transfer RNA, 74 nt
Filed under: Streptococcus pyogenes
Lineage: Bacteria; Bacillati; Bacillota; Bacilli; Lactobacillales; Streptococcaceae
Also listed under: 4 other names
Description: tRNA-Asn
Rfam family: tRNA
About the family: Transfer RNA (tRNA) molecules are approximately 80 nucleotides in length. Their secondary structure includes four short double-helical elements and three loops (D, anti-codon, and T loops).
Source: RNAcentral